UUUGGGGCGGGUCCUUAAGGAAUUGUUAACAUUGGGAGAUGUGGCUGUCACCUCCAAGGAGACCUCCAGUCUCCAAGGAGACCCCGGUGCCCUUCACAGCAGGAUCUGUGCAGGGAUGUGCUGCCGGACAACCAGAGGAACCUGGCCUGCCUGGGUCAGCAGAGAUUGCCCUUGUCUCCCAAUCUGUGAAGGGCUUUCCUUUCUUUCUUGGACUUGUAAUUUCCAAACCAGAUAUGAUAUACCAAUAGGAACAAGGAAUAAAACUUGGGAUGCCAAAGGGAGAUGUCUGAUGAAGCACCUGUCCAUGUAAAUAAGUGAAAACCAAAUGGGGGAAAAGGUACAGCAUAGAACAUCAUGAGUGGUCUUUAAUAGGAAUCACUUAUAAAAUGUGGAUCCAGGAAACUUUCCUUGUAUCCCUUCCGAGGAAUGUGGGGAAGAGUGGAUUUUCUCUGGCAAGAGAUCUUUCCCAUUCAUCCUUCCCUUGUUAUCCAGUUAUAUAUUCAUAAUUCAUUAUUUAUACCAACAGAAGUCCUUGUCAAAUUUUUCUUUGCAUUAUUUUAUAAAGGCUUUCCAUGUUUUUAUAAUGAGUAUGUUUAUGGAGCUAGCUCAAAAGAAAAAGUUAUAUACUAAAUAGUGCAAUUGAGUCAGAGUAUAAUUAUUUUGUUACUUUACUGCUUGCUAUUCAGUUUCUAGCAUUCUGCCAUAAAUGAAGGAGUGUACCUGUUUCUUCAAUUCUGAGAACAUUGAGUUUUGUUGUUUUAAUGAUCUCUGCCCUGUGUUGGCGUUGAUCCUCAGCGUUGUUCCAAUUCAUGCCUGUAGUUACUUAAUUGAUUAAUAAGGUUUGAGUGAUUUUUCAAUUGAUUUAAAUUUUUAUUUCCUUUUAUUUGGAUUUUUUCUCCCAACAUUCUUGGAAUUUAUCUAUUAUAGAUAGACAGUUUCUCUGACAAAUAUUUAAUCUUUCCUUGUGAUUUAAGUAAUUACUAUUCCUUAAACCUUUAGGGUAAG
Molecule: long non-coding RNA, 1005 nt
Filed under: Sarcophilus harrisii (Tasmanian devil)
Lineage: Eukaryota; Metazoa; Chordata; Mammalia; Dasyuromorphia; Dasyuridae
Description: lncRNA (ENSSHAG00000021191.1)
Source: RNAcentral